AAUUAGAGCGGCGAUGAUGUCCGCCGCCCCGGAAAGCCGGGGGAACCGUCCGCGUGGACUGAUGACCUCUACCCUGAU
This 78-nucleotide non-coding RNA is filed under the name Elusimicrobiota bacterium. RNAcentral's name for it is "Elusimicrobia bacterium Fluoride sequence". It matches the Rfam family "Fluoride riboswitch aptamer (crcB RNA motif)". The record is from RNAcentral. Lineage: Bacteria; Pseudomonadati; Elusimicrobiota.